GGGGAAUUUUGCCCAAUGGGCGCAAGCCUGAUGCAGCGACGCCGCGUGAGGGAUGAAGGCCUUCGGGUUGUAAACCUUUUUUCAGUAGGGAAGAAGCGAAAGUGACGGUACCUGCAGAAGAAGCGCCGGCUAACUACGUGCCAGCAGCCGCGGUAAUACGUAGGGCGCAAGCGUUAUCCGGAAUUAUUGGGCGUAAAGAGCUCGUAGGCGGUUUGUCGCGUCUGCCGUGAAAGUCCGGGGCUUAACCCCGGAUCUGCGGUGGGUACGGGCAGACUUGAGUGAUGUAGGGGAGACUGGAAUUCCUGGUGUAGCGGUGAAAUGCGCAGAUAUCAGGAGGAACACCGAUGGCGAAGGCAGGUCUCUGGGCAUUAACUGACGCUGAGGAGCGAAAGCAUGGGGAGCGAACAGGAUUAGAUACCCUGGUAGUCCAUGCCGUAAACGUUGGGCACUAGGUGUGGGGGACAUUCCACGUUUUCCGCGCCGUAGCUAACGCAUUAAGUGCCCCGCCUGGGGAGUACGGCCGCAAGGCUAAAACUCAAAGGAAUUGACGGGGGCCCGCACAAGCGGCGGAGCAUGCGGAUUAAUUCGAUGCAACGCGAAGAACCUUACCAAGGCUUGACAUGAACCGGAACGGCGCAGAGAUGUGUCGGCCACUUGUGGCCGGUUUACAGGUGGUGCAUGGUUGUCGUCAGCUCGUGUCGUGAGAUGUUGGGUUAAGUCCCGCAACGAGCGCAACCCUCGUUCCAUGUUGCCAGCGGGUUAUGCCGGGGACUCAUGGGAGACUGCCGGGGUCAACUCGGAGGAAGGUGGGGACGACGUCAAAUCAUCAUGCCCCUUAUGUCUUGGGCUUCACGCAUGCUACAAUGGCCGGUACAAAGGGUUGCGAUGCUGUGAGGUGGAGCUAAUCCCAAAAAGCCGGUCUCAGUUCGGAUUGAGGUCUGCAACUCGACCUCAUGAAGUCGGAGUCGCUAGUAAUCGCAGAUCAGCAACGCUGCGGUGAAUACGUUCCCGGGCCUUGUACACACCGCCCGUCAAGUCACGAAAGUUGGUAACACCCGAAGCCGGUGGCCUAACCCGUAAGGGGGGAGCCGUUCGAAG
RNAcentral lists this ribosomal RNA (1098 nucleotides) under Arthrobacter sp. RNAcentral describes it as "bacterial SSU rRNA". It matches the Rfam family "Bacterial small subunit ribosomal RNA", at positions 356 to 1461 of the family's 1533-position model. The record is from RNAcentral. Lineage: Bacteria; Bacillati; Actinomycetota; Actinomycetes; Micrococcales; Micrococcaceae.